RNAcentral lists this ribosomal RNA (449 nucleotides) under uncultured bacterium. RNAcentral's name for it is "partial 16S ribosomal RNA". It matches the Rfam family "Bacterial small subunit ribosomal RNA", at positions 29 to 523 of the family's 1533-position model. The record is from RNAcentral.
AACGAACGCUGGCGGCAUGCCUAACACAUGCAAGUCGAACGAGAUCUUCGGGUCUAGUGGCGCACGGGUGCGUAACGCGUGGGAAUCUGCCCUUUGGUUCGGAAUAACAGUUGGAAACGACUGCUAAUCCCGGAUGAUGACGAAAGUCCAAAGAUUUAUCGCCAGAGGAUGAGCCCGCGUAGGAUUAGCUAGUUGGUGUGGUAAAGGCGCACCAAGGCGACGAUCCUUAGCUGGUCUGAGAGGAUGAUCAGCCACACUGGGACUGAGACACGGCCCAGGCUCCUACGGGAGGCAGCAGUGGGGAAUAUUGGACAAUGGGCGAAAGCCUGAUCCAGCAAUGCCGCGUGAGUGAUGAAGGCCUGAGGGUUGUAAAGCUCUUUUACCCGGGAUGAUAAUGACAGUACCGGGAGAAUGAGCUCCGGCUAACUCCGUGCCAGCCGCCGCCGUAA